AUUGAACGCUGGCGGCAUGCUUUACACAUGCAAGUCGAACGGCAGCGCGGGCUUCGGCCUGGCGGCGAGUGGCGAACGGGUGAGUAAUGCAUCGGAACGUGCCCAGUAGUGGGGGAUAGCCCGGCGAAAGCCGGAUUAAUACCGCAUACGACCUGAGGGUGAAAGCGGGGGACCGAAAGGCCUCGCGCUAUUGGAGCGGCCGAUGUCGGAUUAGCUAGUUGGUGGGGUAAAGGCCUACCAAGGCGACGAUCCGUAGCUGGUCUGAGAGGACGACCAGCCACACUGGGACUGAGACACGGCCCAGACUCCUACGGGAGGCAGCAGUGGGGAAUUUUGGACAAUGGGGGCAACCCUGAUCCAGCCAUGCCGCGUGCGGGAAGAAGGCCUUCGGGUUGUAAACCGCUUUUGUUCGGGAAGAAGUCCUCUGGGCUAAUACCCCGGGGGGAUGACGGUACCGGAAGAAUAAGCACCGGCUAACUACGUG
This 484-nucleotide ribosomal RNA is filed under the name uncultured bacterium. RNAcentral describes it as "partial 16S ribosomal RNA". It matches the Rfam family "Bacterial small subunit ribosomal RNA", at positions 28 to 507 of the family's 1533-position model. The record is from RNAcentral.